AAUUCGAUGAUACGCGAGGAACCUUACCUGGGCUUAAAUGGGAGUGACAGCUGUCGAAAGAUGGUUUUCUUCGGACACUCUUCAAGGUGCUGCAUGGUUGUCGUCAGCUCGUGCCGUGAGGUGUCGGGUUAAGUCCCAUAACGAGCGCAACCCUUACCGUUAGUUACCAUCAGGUUAAGCUGGGGACUCUAGCGGGACUGCCACCGUAAGGUGAGAGGAAGUGGGGAUGACGUCAAAUCAGCACGGCCCUUAUGUCCAGGGCUACACACGUGUUACAAUGGCCAGUACAAAGGGCAGCUACCGGGUGACCGGAUGCUAAUCUCUAAAGCUGGUCUCAGUUCGGAUCGAAGUCUGCAACCCGACUUCGUGAAGCUGGAUUCGCUAGUAAUCGCGCAUCAGCCAUGGCGCGGUGAAUACGUUCCCGGGCCUU
Molecule: ribosomal RNA, 430 nt
Filed under: uncultured Sphingobacteriales bacterium
Lineage: Bacteria; Pseudomonadati; Bacteroidota; Sphingobacteriia; Sphingobacteriales
Description: bacterial SSU rRNA
Rfam family: Bacterial small subunit ribosomal RNA
Source: RNAcentral